AGUUAAGGAGGGGAGGGGGUGGAGGGAAAAGCAAGCCAGGAGGUGCUUGCGGCCGCUUCUAGUAGUUUCCAGGCGCUGCCGGGCGGCUGGCACUAAGCGGUCCUGAGGCUGUGGCUACGGCUGCUCCGGAGCUGGUGGCGCCGCGAUAGGAGAGCCGAUGGCCAAGUGGGGUGAGGGAGACCCACGCUGGAUCGUGGAGGAGCGGGCGGACGCCACCAACGUCAACAACUGGCACUGGACGGAGAGAGAUGCUUCAAAUUGGUCCACGGAUAAGCUGAAAACACUGUUCCUGGCAGUGCAGGUUCAAAAUGAAGAAGGCAAGUGUGAGGUGACGGAAGUGAGUAAGCUUGAUGGAGAGGCAUCCAUUAACAAUCGCAAAGGGAAACUUAUCUUCUUUUAUGAAUGGAGCGUCAAACUAAACUGGACAGGUACUUCUAAGUCAGGAGUACAGUACAAAGGACAUGUGGAGAUCCCCAAUUUGUCUGAUGAAAACAGCGUGGAUGAAGUGGAGGUUUGUGCUUCAUAACUCCUAAUCCGAGUCCUCUAUAUCCUCUUAUUCUCAGAUGAGAAAAGUGACCUGUCAUUCAG
This 588-nucleotide small RNA is filed under the name Pan troglodytes (chimpanzee). RNAcentral describes it as "retained intron". The record is from RNAcentral. Lineage: Eukaryota; Metazoa; Chordata; Mammalia; Primates; Hominidae.